GAGCCAACAUCUAACGCACAAACAUAUACCAAUAAACAAACAAAACAUUUGACCAUCCUAGUAGAUGAGAUCGAACAGCAAACCACUAGUACCGCAAGGGGAAACAAACAAGCAACAAACAGCAAAGAUUAACCCUUGUACCUUUUGCAUCAUGGUCUAGCAAGAAACCAAAGACAAGAAGAAUCAAAGCCUCCACCCCGAAACCAGAUGAGCUACUUUCAAGCAGCUAACGGGCACACCCUUCUCUGUAGCAAAAGAGUGGGAAGACUUAAAAGUAGAAGUGAAACGCCUACCGAAUCUGGAGAUAGUCGGCUACCCCAAAAAGAAUAUAAGUUCACCACAGACUACAAGACUUAUUCUACCUGUGGAACUAAUAGGGGUACAGCUCUAUUGAAAUAGGAUACAACCUGAAUUUGAAAGGAAAAUUACACUGCCCCUAGUAGGCCCUAAAGCAGCCACCUAACAAAAUAUCGUUAAAGAAUUAUACAACUUAAACCCAACACUAAUCAAAAACUCCAAAUCAACUAAAGGUAAGGCCAUUAUAAUGGGUCCUACCAUGCUAGAACUAAUAAUAAGACAAUAUCUCUUCAUGCACCUUUAUACUAAAACCGGACCAACCACUAGCCAUUAACAGACCACAUUAGGAAUAAACUAAGCACUACACAACUUUAAACAAACUGUUACCCCAACACAGGCGCAUCAAAAAGAAAGAUUUACCAUUAUAAAAGGAACUCGGCAAACAAAGACUUCAACUGUUUAACAAAAACAUAACCUUUAGACUAACCAAUAUUAAAGGCAACGCCUGCCCAGUGAACAAUUAAACGGCCGCGGUACCCUAACCGUGCAAAGGUAGCAUAAUCAUUUGUCUACUAAUUAUAGACCUGUAUGAAAGGCAAAAUGAAAGUCUAGCUGUCUCUUAUAAUAAACCAAUUAAACUGAUCUCCUAGUAAAAAAGCUGGGAUUUAACCAUAAGACCAGAAGACCCUGUGAAGCUUAAACUAAACUAUUAAACCUCGUAAUAAUUACUUUCGGUUGGGGCGACCUUGGAAAAAAAGAGAACUUCCAACAAUACGACCUACCUCGUACCACCCGCACAGGUUAACAAGCAAUUAAUGACCCAGCAAAGCUGUAAUUGAACCAAGUUACUCCAGGGAUAACAGCGCAAUCCUCUUCAGAGCCAUAUCAAAGAGGUUACGACCUCGAUGUUGGAUCAGGACAUCCUAAUGGUGCAGACGCUAUUAAGGGUUCGUUUGUUCAACGAUUAA
This 1265-nucleotide ribosomal RNA is filed under the name Oligodon sp. RWM-2010. Its description in RNAcentral is "partial 16S ribosomal RNA". It matches the Rfam family "Bacterial large subunit ribosomal RNA", at positions 440 to 2591 of the family's 2925-position model. Lineage: Eukaryota; Metazoa; Chordata; Lepidosauria; Squamata; Colubridae. The record is from RNAcentral.